This 1329-nucleotide long non-coding RNA is filed under the name Canis lupus familiaris (dog). Its description in RNAcentral is "lncRNA (ENSCAFG00040020610.1)". The record is from RNAcentral. Lineage: Eukaryota; Metazoa; Chordata; Mammalia; Carnivora; Canidae.
AUGGCUGGCCUGUCCCCAUGGGCGCCCCAUGCAGCACCUUGUCCUGGGCGGCCUGGGCCGGCUGGGCUCACCCUGCUGCUCGCCGGGCUCCGGGGGUCACAGGCGGCGGGACGCGCUGGCCGGAGUCAAGCUCCUGGGAGAGCCGCGGAUGGGGGGGUCGUUGGCGUCAGCCCAUGGGCCCUGACACUUGUGGGUGGAACUUGUGUGUGCACCGAGCGUGGCUCGCGGGGUCCCCGGGGGCACGAACAACCCUUACCCCCUCCCACCUGCCAGCUGGGUACCUCCACCCCAGGCCCUCUGGGGCGUCAUCCCCGCAGCCUACGGGGCAGGUGCCCCACUCCGGGCCCUCAGCCCACCCACUCACACCCUCUGCCCUUCUCGACACAGAAACUAGAGCAAGAGCGUGAGCACGUGGGAGGGGAUCCUGAGGACCCGCGCGUCACGCCAGGUAAGACUCCUGGACCCCUCCCUCCUCCUGAGGCCGGCGCGACUGUCCUUGGCUUUUCCCUUGCGCUCAGGGUAGAAAGGCGUCCGCUUUCAUCUUUAAAGCACGUACACGCGUGCACCCACGCACACACGGCCCCCACAGCACAUCACAGCCUCACGCAAGCCCCGCGAGGGGACCCGUUCACCCUUCCCAGUUUGCAGAUAGGAACUAGAGGUCCCGUGAGGUGGCCACGCCUGGGCCAGGCCCACGUUGCUGCAAGCUUGUUCGGGGCCGGGGGGCUGCGACCUGUCAGGUGGGCGCAUCCUCGGGCCCAGAGCAGGCCCCUGGGCCCCUGCCACCCUGGCCAAGGGUCAGGCUGUCAGGCCACAGGAACUAGGGGGAGGCCGGCCCUCCCUGGGGACAGCGUCCAGGUGCAGGGGGCCUGCAGGGGCUGCGGCGCGAGCCCCAGGGCCAUGGGAGUCCAGACCGGGAAUCCCAAGCCAGGCGACCUGGCCGGCGAGGAAGAGCAGGGCCCUGCAGUGGGCCGGGCCGAGGGACUCCUGGGGCCGCCCAGGCCUGCGCUCCAUCCUCUGCACAGGGGCGGGCGGGGCGGGCGGGGGGCGGGGGGGCGGCGGGCCGCGCUGUGUCCAGAGGAAGGAGGACUCUUGGGAGCCGCUCUGGAGGCAGCGGGCGGCGGGCGGGCCUCCGGGGCUUGGGGCGCAGGUGCUCGGCGGGAAGGGCCUCCCACCCGGGGCAGGGCGGUGCCGGGCCCCGGGCGAACCUGCUCCUUCCUGAGUGACCGCGUCCCCGCAGGAGGCGAGGACCGGCCCGACGCGGCCCUGCUGGGUGCCCUGGGGAGGCGCCGAGACCUUCUGCGGACGCUCCGGACAUGGUGGAGAUGA